Long non-coding RNA from Pantherophis guttatus, 980 nucleotides. RefSeq lists it as uncharacterized. NCBI's taxonomy places the organism in Eukaryota, Metazoa, Chordata, Lepidosauria, Squamata, Colubridae. The record is from RefSeq and is a predicted model, not a curated record.
GACUUUGCUUGGGGGAAGCCAGCUGGGAAGUUGCCAAUGAUCCACUGAUGUGGUGUCACAACAUGUUUUGGAGGUCGACACUGGAAAUGUAAAACGCAGAGUAUCAUUGCAUUGACACAGUGAAGGAUCACACUUUAGUUGAGCAAGAUCACAAGAUGAGUUUCAAUUGAGCCUCUUCCAAGUGAAGAUUAGAGAAAGGCCAAGAUGGAUCUGCUCAAGCCAAGAGUAUUUUUGGCUCCAAGGCAGGCAACCAUUUGGAGAACAGAGAGUGCCCUGCCAGUUCACCACUAAUAGGUGUCAUUCUCCAUGUGAACUAAAGCUUCUCACCAUCACGAGGUCAUUCAUGGUCUCUUCCAAACAUUCCAUUUCCACAAAAAUAUAUGGCAAACGCUCCAGCUACUCAAGAAAACACUCCGUUCUUAAGAAUUGCACUGGACAAAACUUCACAAAUCCAAGAAUCAGUACGUCAUGCUUGUUUACCCAGGAGAAUUCCUCCAUGAAUACAGUCCUUAUUUAUGAGCAGGACUUCAGUGAAGAUUUGAUAAGACUUCAAGGCACAGGCCAAGCUGACUUUAAAGUUCAGUCGAAGGUGGAGGACAGCGAAGGGAGCAGACAAGAUCACAGAGACAGGAGAAGCUUGAGGGGUGGCAGGAAAGACAAGCAGAAUGGUGAAUAAGAAGGAGAAGUAGAAUUUGGUGGCUGAAGUCCAUCAGGCUGCCACAGCAUCAGGGUUGCCAAAGCAAAGCUUCGAAUAAAUAAAGAUUUGAAGAAGAAGAAGAAGAAUAAAAAGCCAAAGUGGUGAACAUCUACAAAGAUCUUGUAUGAGAAUCAAAAUCUUGCCAAAUCUGUCUCUAUCUAUCUCAUGAGAGUGGAAAUAUUCGUAAGCAAAAAAAUAAUCUUUGAAAAUUGGAAAGUCAAUGGAUGUCCUGUAGAAUUGCCAUGAACAUCACAGUAUCUGUGAUUGCUGGAUUGUUCGCUUC